UAGGGAAUCUUCGGCAAUGGGGGGAACCCUGACCGAGCAACGCCGCGUGAGUGAAGAAGGUUUUCGGAUCGUAAAGCUCUGUUGUUAAGGAAGAACGAGUGUGAGAAUGGAAAGUUCAUACUGUGACGGUACUUAACCAGAAAGGGACGGCUAACUACGUGCCAGCAGCCGCGGUAAUACGUAGGUCCCGAGCGUUGUCCGGAUUUAUUGGGCGUAAAGCGAGCGCAGGCGGUUAGAUAAGUCUGAAGUUAAAGGCAGUGGCUCAACCAUUGUAGGCUUUGGAAACUGUUUAACUUGAGUGCAGAAGGGAAGAGUGGAAUUCCAUGUGUAGCGGUGAAAUGCGUAGAUAUAUGGAGGAACACCGGUGGCGAAAGCGGCUCUCUGGUCUGUAACUGACGCUGAGGCUCGAAAGCGUGGGGAGCGAACAGG
Molecule: ribosomal RNA, 429 nt
Filed under: Bacteroidota bacterium
Lineage: Bacteria; Pseudomonadati; Bacteroidota
Description: Bacteroidetes bacterium partial 16S ribosomal RNA
Rfam family: Bacterial small subunit ribosomal RNA
Source: RNAcentral